Mustela erminea (ermine) is the source of this 640-nucleotide long non-coding RNA. RefSeq lists it as uncharacterized. The transcript is spliced from 4 exons. The record is from RefSeq and is a predicted model, not a curated record. NCBI's taxonomy places the organism in Eukaryota, Metazoa, Chordata, Mammalia, Carnivora, Mustelidae.
AAAGAAAUUUCAUGUAUAUCUAAAAUUUUACAACGUAACUCUGGCAGCUCUGUUGAGACCAGGACAAAAAGGGAGAAGGGACAUCCAUGGACCCACGUGACAGCUGUAAAUGCUCCUGCUCAGAAGUGGCAUCCACUAACACUUCCUUAACCCAAUCAAGGCCAUACCAAACGCUGGUGAAACAGGUUGGAGAAAGAAUGAAGAAAUCAAAAAAAUGAAACCGGUAACUGAUUAACAGGACAUUUGGAAUUACAGCGAAGAUGUAUUCAGAAAACAUUGAAAACUAGAACAUUCCUCAGCUUCAGCAUCAACAUCUGCCAGGGAAUCAGCAGAGGCCAGAAAACUGGCAUAUAAAGAGUUAUGUCUUGUCUCGUGUCACAAAAGGAUCAGGGUGAGAAGUUCUAAAGGAAUGGUGAAUCUACAGUAAAGGUGCUCAAUUUAUUAUGUCCAUCUUGUGUCUGGGCAGACUCCAAACUAAGCAACUUUGUGGUUUUGCUGCACCCUUUUCUGUACCCACACCUGUUACCCCUCUACUCCUGGCUGCCUUUCUGUUUAUUUUAGCCACCAAUAAAACGGUGAUGUAUAAACAUAAUCACUGGCUUCAAACACUACACUGUUUUGGGGAGGAAAGAUGCUCAGG